GGCUCCUUAGCACCAGAGAAAGCAUAAUCAGGUUCUCCUGUUUGUUUCCUGUGAUGUGCUCUUUGUAAUGGAAGUUGAAUAAAAUGUAAAGACAAAUCCUG
Molecule: long non-coding RNA, 101 nt
Organism: Hippocampus comes (tiger tail seahorse)
Lineage: Eukaryota; Metazoa; Chordata; Actinopteri; Syngnathiformes; Syngnathidae
Exons: 2
Source: RefSeq, a predicted model, not a curated record